GGGGCCGUGGGGUAGCUUGGUCCAGCGAAAAACAGGAUUAUUCCUGAAUUCACUGCAAGAACCAUCCUUUCUGGUUUGGGACCAGAUGACCCCGGUUCGAAUCCGGGCGGCCCCA
This 115-nucleotide transfer RNA is filed under the name Nanobdellota archaeon. Its description in RNAcentral is "tRNA-Pro". Lineage: Archaea; Nanobdellati; Nanobdellota. The record is from RNAcentral.